Molecule: unclassified non-coding RNA, 346 nt
Filed under: soil metagenome
Description: partial contains 5.8S ribosomal RNA, internal transcribed spacer 2, and large subunit ribosomal RNA
Rfam family: 5.8S ribosomal RNA (bases 1-120)
Source: RNAcentral
GAUGAAGAACGCAGCGAAAUGCGAUACGUAAUGUGAAUUGCAGAAUUCAGUGAAUCAUCGAGUCUUUGAACGCACAUUGCGCCCCCUGGUAUUCCGGGGGGCAUGCCUGUCCGAGCGUCAUUGCUGCCCUCAAGCACGGCUUGUGUGUUGGGCCCCGUCCUCCGAUCCCGGGGGACGGGCCCGAAAGGUAGCGGCGGCACCGCGUCCGGUCCUCGAGCGUAUGGGGCUUUGUCACCCGCUCUGUAGGCCCGGCCGGCGCUUGCCGAUCAACCCAAAUUUUUAUCCAGGUUGACCUCGGAUCAGGUAGGGAUACCCGCUGAACUUAAGCAUAUCAAUAAGCGGAGGA